GAUGAACGCUGGCGGCGUGCCUAAUACAUGCAAGUCGAGCGAACGGACGAGAAGCUUGCUUCCCUGAUGUUAGCGGCGGACGGGUGAGUAACACGUGGAUAACCUACCUAUAAGACUGGGAUAACUUCGGGAAACCGGAGCUAAUACCGGAUGAUAUUUUGAACCGCAUGGUUCAAAAGUGAAAGACGGUCUUGCUGUCACUUAUAGAUGGAUCCGCGCUGCAUUAGCUAGUUGGUAAGGUAACGGCUUACCAAGGCAACGAUGCAUAGCCGACCUGAGAGGGUGAUCGGCCACACUGGAACUGAGACACGGUCCAGACUCCUACGGGAGGCAGCAGUAGGGAAUCUUCCGCAAUGGGCGGAAGCCUGACGGAGCAACGCCGCGUGAGUGAUGAAGGUCUUCGGAUCGUAAAACUCUGUUAUUAGGGAAGAACAUAUGUGUAAGUAACUGUGCACAUCUUGACGGUACCUAAUCAGAAAGCCACGGCUAACUACGUG
RNAcentral lists this ribosomal RNA (497 nucleotides) under uncultured bacterium. RNAcentral describes it as "partial 16S ribosomal RNA". It matches the Rfam family "Bacterial small subunit ribosomal RNA", at positions 28 to 507 of the family's 1533-position model. The record is from RNAcentral.